Long non-coding RNA from Cotesia glomerata, 267 nucleotides. RefSeq lists it as uncharacterized. NCBI's taxonomy places the organism in Eukaryota, Metazoa, Arthropoda, Insecta, Hymenoptera, Braconidae. The transcript is spliced from 2 exons. The record is from RefSeq and is a predicted model, not a curated record.
GAUUUCAAACAUUUCUUAGAGUGUACAAACAAAUUUAUAAGAAUAUUUGACAAUGAUCGGGGCUUAUUAUCUGUCGAUGAAGUUGAUACUUUUAUCAAUUUUAAAAUUCAAAUGUACAUUGCAAUAAAUGAAAAUUUAUAUAUUGGCAUCGAUGAAAUUGAAAACAAUGUUCCAGAACAUAUUAUUUUUAUACAUGAUUAAUAAACAACCGAUCACUUGUAUGAUUAAUAAACGGUUUGUAUUAUUAAAUAAAAAAGAAAAAUAAUA